CGCGGGGCCGGGCGGGCGGGCGCGGGGGAAGCCCCGGGGCGGGCGGGGGCCGAGGGGCAGAGCCCGGCGGGGCUCGGCCGGGCGGCCUCGGCCUCGGCCGCCCCCGGGUGCCCGCUCCCUGUGCCCGGCGUCGUCCGGGCCCUGCCCGCUUCGCUCGGCGGCUCCUUCGCUCCACGCGUGCAGCCGUGCUGCGCCCGGCGUGCGGGUACAGCGCCGCCAGCGCGCGGCGAUCACAGAAUCACAGAAUCAAUUAGGUCGGAAAAGACUUCUGAGAUCAUCGAGUCUAACCUGUGACCACCUUGUCAACCAGACCGUGGCAACGAGUGGCACGUCCUGUGUUUUAACACCUCCAGGGAUGGCGACUCCACCAUCUCCUUGGGCAGGCCAUUCUGUUAUGUAAUAACCUUUUCUGUGAAGAUUUUCUUCCUGAUGUCCAACCUAAACAUCCCCUGGCACAGCUCAGCACUGUGUCCUCAUACAGCCAGUUGCUGAGAGAAGAGGCCGGUCCCCAUCGGGUUCCUUUCAUGUGCGAGGCGAGGGCAGCGGUGACCCGCGCACGGAGCCGCCUGGAGCUGUCACAGGUGUGUGUAGGCGUCAUCUUCCAUUGCACCCUUACACCUUGGCUCUUCUGCACAGGCUUCUUACACUAUCAUGGAAGGUGAUGUUAUAUAGCUUAGCUUUAAAACAUCAUUCAACCCCUGAAACGUGAAAUUCAACUGGUCUUGCGCUUCAAUAUAAAACCCAGCUGAGGCUGCCCUGCCCUCGCUUUUGUCACCGUCACUGUAGCAGCUGCUUUUGUGGUAGGAGUAAAAGAUCAGGGCUCCUUCACAAGACACUGCACAGCGUGUAACUAACUCUAGGCCCUUUUUAAGGCAGAGACAUACAUCAGUGUUUGCUUUCAUGCAUGACAAGCGCUGUCACUGACUGUUUACAUAAAUUAAGCAUAUUUAGCAUGUCCUAAACACAACAGUGCAGAAAGCAGAUGGAUACACCAAGGAGGUGAAAGGGAGGCAAAAUAAUGACGUAUGGAAAAGAGUGAAUUACACCAAGCCUGUUUUUAACUAUCUGCUCAUUAUUUCAGAAAGAGAAGAGCAUGAAGAUUGUGUCGUAAGCGAAGGAGGAAAUAAUUUUUCAUUUACUGUUGAAAUUCUUGAAGAAUUAUAUUGUAACACAAGCUGAUGUGUACAAAUGUACAGGAAGUGACAGUAUGUUCAGUUUGCGAAUGUAGACAAUUGAAUUCAUAGGUUAUCUUUUUGUGGUUGGCAAAAGUCACCACUUUUGCUCCCAGAAUUACUUUUUUUGUGGAAAGCAACAAUUUUAUGAUUUUAUGCUUUUCUUUUUUUUUUUUUUUUUAACUUCCCAAUGCACCACUCACUUCAGUUCAUGUUUUGGUUUUCUAGAUGUGUAAAAAUACUGCCUGAAAAUGCUAAAAAUUUAGUUCCAUUCCAGGCUUUGCAGAAAGAAACAGGAUUUUAUACACUUGACUGGGUAUCUCUGAAACUCAUGUUUUAUUUGUUCAGAUUAAUUUAAAUUAUUUUCUGUCAUCUUCAUAUUGUGCUACCUCAUUGCUUUCUUGGCCUGGCAGAUCAUUAAUAAUCAUCUCUAGCAUAAUGAAUGUUAGAGUGCUGUAACAUCUGCUUCUAAGUUUUAACCACAUCAUUCCCUCGUAUUUUCUGUCUCUUGCUCAGUUCUUUAUAAGUUUGUCUUGUACCACCACAGUGCAACAUUUAUUCUGUGUGCCCUAUUUUGAUUUUAGCCAUAUUGCAGUUACUGCAUAACUUUGUCUCAUCUUCGUAACAUUUCUAGUGGCAGCAGCGUAGCUAUGGAAGUGCAGAGCUCUGGGAUGGCUCUAAACUCAGGUAUUUACAAGGUGUCUUAGCUGGGUUUUGCUGUGUUCUUCCACAACUGCCAAGGCAGCAGUAUUUCAGGCAGCUGGUAGAAAGCUGCCGUAGGCUUGAUUGUCUGCUGUGUGACUGGGACUUAGAGAUGAUGCCCCUUUCCCCAUCAUUUGGGGUCAUCCUUUGCAAAUACCUGAACAUUUGCUUACCCUCAAAAAGCAGAAAUAAUACGUUGAAUUAAAAAAAAAAAAGUUGAUAAAACACAUUUAAAUAUGACGUUUUUUACAUCAUAGUAUUUUUAAAAUCUAAUUCAGUGUCAGAAUUCAGCUACAAAAAAGGUGUAGAUUAAGCAGAUGAUACGAUGUAGUGUGUUUUCAUAUAAAACUUUCCCUGUCUAUAUUUAGGUAAUUACAUAUAAAAUCACUUUACUUAGACUGCAUUUUCAAAUGCAUUUGAAAACAAGAUUCUCAUCCAAAAAAAGAGGUACUCAACAGUAUUAUUCUAGAAAACUGGCUUAUUUUUACAUGUACUACAUCACAGACACAAUGCAAUACAAAACAAUGCUGCACUGAAAAGUGUAUAUACGUAUAAAACCUCUCCACUUGCAUUAUUAGUGCUUAGUCAAAAAUUCUAAUGAAAAAGUUUCAUUUUGGUGUAGAUCAACAAUUUAAUAAGUUACUUCUAUUCUAUUCAAGGCAUUAUCAUUAGAAAGGUAAUAAUGACAUUGCCAGUGUGUGCUAUUAUGACACCUCUUACAUGGCGCUGUCCUACACUGCAUGCAGCUCCUGAAGGCUUUUGUAAGUUGUCUGUAAAAGUUUACCAGUCCAGAUCAUUGCCAUUUUCAGCCACUUAGCAUUCAUUUUUUUUUAUUUGUGCAAAUAAGAUUGUGUUUUAGGCUGUGGAGAAUUACAUUCACUACACUUGCUUCUCCAGAUAGAUAAUAGAAUUUUCUAUUUUCUGAUUGUACAGUUCUUUGGAUCUUGCAAAUGCAACUUAUCGUUGCCAAGUAAUUGUUGCAACUUCAGAUGAUUUUUUAACCUAAAUAACAUGAUGCUCAUAAUGGAGCUACAGCAAUUUAAAAGAAGUCACAGUCUGACCUAAAGUUUUCUAUUGAAAGUGUAUAUUUUUUAUUUUACCCUCAGUAUGAACAGUGUAAAUAUAAGGAUUCUUAGCUUAUGAAGGAAUAGCAACGUGGGUACCUGCUCUUUUACAGUCUUCCAUGCCUUACAUGGGUCUUCUUUAGGCUUUCAAUCUCCUGAACUUGCUGCUUAUACCUUUGAAAGAAGCCAAGUGAGGCCCUAAGUCUCUGAUCUUGUCAAGGGAGAUAGAUAUGCACCUUCAGAGGGAAAUUCAAAACCUAAUGAGAUCGAGGAUCCGCCUCUCCUUUUUUCUCUCCCUCCUUUGCACACCAGAGUAGACAAUUCAAUAUUAUAAGUCACAGUAGUCUCUGAGAGGACUCACUGUCUCAGCAGGUGGCUUACUGUUUUUGCACGCUGAGAUGUACUUGUCUGUUAGAUGGGGAGCUGAAAGCAGCAAUGCGGCUGCAAGGAUUGGCAGAAGGGAGCUGCUGCAAGGCUCUGUGAUUAAGCGAAGCUGCUGCAACACACUGCAGUUGGAAAAGGGUGAGAUUCUUGGUGCUCAGCAGCAAACAAUGAGCAUGGCUGAUUUUAUCACUUUCAAAGUGACUGUAGAUUGUCUUGCUUCUUUAAUGUGCUAUAUAUAUCAUUACAUGAAAAUGACAUUUUUGUCUGUGUAUUAUCUUUCAUUUUUAUCUCUCAUUUUAAAAUACAUUUAUAAUAUCCCUAACAAUAUAGAUAAAACAAAAUGAACUUACUUUACUAAUAAAUGCAAUUUUUCUUCUUUAUGAAAUGUAGUUAUUUCUUGUGUGCGGAUCACCUUUGUUUGUGUCAAAUGAAAUAAAUUACAAUUCAGUCUUUUUAUUAAUGAGACCAGUUAUUAGUCUUCAAUUUCUUAGGUUCACAGAAUGAAAUGCAAAGAAAAUACCAUUUAUGUAACAUAAUCUCUGAUGUUGUAUAAUACAAUCACAACUGGGGAGUGUGUGCAAUGCCUAACUUUAGAGCCUACAUUUGAUAGGCUAAAUACUUAUCUGUUUGCUUGCAUUUUCUUUCAUGUCAAUGAAAAUACAGAGAAACUGUAAUAAGGUGAUUCAGGCUGGGAACCUGGCUAGCAAGAGGCAAGAAAAGACAUAUUUAAGUUCAGGCACCUAAAUGAAAUGUCUAAAGCUAAAUGGCAUGAGCCCAGGUUUCACUCCAGUAGGCUGCUUCCCACAGAAGCUGUUCCAGUUGUUCUUCUUAAGUGAGGCAUUUGCUCAAGCAGAAAUAAAAGGUUGACAUUCUGGACCUGAGAAAUGUAAGCUUCAAGUAAAUAAUGGGUGUUUAUAAGGAUAGGAAUGACAAAACUGAGACACAUUUCAUUUUCUACAAAUGUCCUAAAGAUAGCUUUCCUCUGCCAUUUAGCUCAAGGCAGAACUUUUACAUACACAGAAUAAUUCCUGUGAAGUCACGCUGGUCACAUGGCCUUGAGAUGUUCCAACAGGACUUUGCUUAUUUGAUCUAUGAUUGUUCUUAGCUAAAAUAUUAUAAUGAUGACAUGGAAAAAUUGGAACUCAGCUGUAGAUGUAAUAGCAAAUAAUGAGAUUAAAAAUAGAGGAAAAGGCCACAAAUUGCAGCUAGUUUAGAAGAUUUAUUACUAAUGGAAUUCUUACUUUAACCACCACACAUCAAAGCAAACAAGAUUCUACCUAACCUUUUUUGACACCAGAUUAUCUUACUCAGCUUUUCACUUCUGUCAUUAUUUUUAUUAUUCAUUUUUGUCAUACAGAUUUGUAUGAUUAAUAACACACUUCAAUGCUGUGACAUGAGUGCAUUUUCUACUAAAAAUGGUGGGAGGGGUAGAUAGAGAAUAAGAAGACUGUUUACUUGCUUUUGGACAAAAUGUACUCACAACUUGGUGGAUACAUAUAUGUAGUUGCCUUUGUGUACUUAAACUGCACUAUGAAACAUGAUGACUUCAUAUAAUAGUCUUUAUUUGAGAGGUAAUACUUUUUAAUAUGAUUUGGUUUGAGAGAACAGCAGUGAAUCAGCACUCUUGGACCAUAAUCACUAGAGCAGGAUGUACUGCUUAGAGCAGAGAUGCAUCUCAGAAAGUGGGCCACUGGACAUAAAAUCAGAACCAACAGAAAAGAAACAUCAAAGAAAAGAGAUACUAAACAAAACAUUGAAAACUUAUUUCAUAAUUCCAUUUGCAAUGAAAUCGCUCAUUUUCUAAUGCUAAGUCAUCUUUUCCUUCAUCUGUUAACCCCUAACAUAAAUGCAGUCAUCUGCCCACACGUUUCUAAUUGCCAACAUCCCUAUUUGUCAAAAUCCUGCUACUGCUUCUCUCCCCAAAAUACAUCACACAGCAUCUGGUCUCGUGCCUGAUAUCAGAGAGAUAGCUUGAGAAAGUCAUAUCAAAAGCAAAGCAGUUAAACAAUGUUUCUUUUACAAGAACCCCUCUCUUUGUAGUAGUUUCAAGUUUAGGAACACACUUUCUGAUCAGACACCUUAAGAGGUAACUAUAAACUACUUAGUAAUGAGUUUGUCAUUAUUAAGGAAUUUAUGUCUGUGAUUUCUGUAACUUCCUGUUGCAAUGAGUUUUACAUUUAACUAAGUUUUAGAUAUGGGGAAAAAAUAUUUACCCUUACGAUUAAUCUAGAACCCAUUUUUCACAUUCAGUGGUGAAAAAUGUACUACCACACUGAAAAACAGCUGUGCAAUAUCAGCAUAUUAAUUUGAAGUAAUGCCGAAAAUGCUAAUUUAUAACUAUUUAUUAAAAUACAUAAUAUAAAAAUAAUAUAUUAAUACUGAACUAACUAUACUGAUUCUUUUUUAUCUGAUUAAAAAAAAAAAAAAAUUAAGCUUCAAAACAAGUGUUCUGUGGCAUAUCCUGUCACCAUGUGUACUUGAUAUAAAAUUCAUGAACCUUUCCCCAGUCAGGCCUCAAGGAGCUCCCGGGGACUGAUUUAUUUGUUUGAUGUGGGAAGAUGAGGAGGGUUGGUAUUCUGAGAACCCACCUCCUAAAACACUAUCCACUUGAAAAUCAUUUAUCUGUGAGAACCAUCCUAGGUGGUUUAGCCAAACAUCAGACUUUGUUUUGAAGUGUUUCUUCUUCCCAUUUUGAAGCCCUAUGGGUACCUCUUUUUGAUAAAUUUCCAUUCAUUGUGACUUUUGCCUCAAGUCCCUGUCUGACCAUCCUCAUCGCUGUUUAUUCCCUCAUCGCUGGAACAUCCUGUGCUCUCUGCUGCACUGAGCAACCACUUUCCAUUCCCUCUUCCAGAACAGAUGCUUCCUCCCAAAGGAUGGUCCUAUCAAAAAGUGAGAAAGGGUGACUGUGUAUUUAUUAUAUUUUAAAUUUAAGAUAUAGUUUAUUAUCUUAUGUAUGUAUCUUGAGAUCCAAGAAAAGGAGAAUUUUAAUAUUUUCACUUGCUCUUGCAAAUUUUUCAACAUUGAUGGAAAAGUAAGCAAAGCUUAAGAGAGAACAGUCAAGUGUGGCUGUUGUAAACAAAUAUGUAGCAAGCCAGAACACUUAAAACAAAUGCAGCAGGUACUUUGCAAAACUGUUGUCUCAAAUAAGCAUUCUAAACUUCUCUAGUUAUAUUUAUUGGUCUGUGACUGCCUGAGAUAUCUAUGUCUUUGGAGACUAUUGAAAAAUAUUCACAUACUUGCCAGCUUAUCCAAUUUAGGAACAAUAUAGAAAUAAUAAAAGUUUUCUGUGUGCAUAUUUUUUUUUUUAAUUUUCAACCUGGCUAUUUACUUUUUUUUUUUUUAAUUUGGUAGUUUAUUUCAUGUUUUACAGCGCUGUACAGUAUUAAUAAUUUUCCUCCAAUUUUCAGACCACUUUCAUAUGAUCAUGAUUUUUAUCCCCAUAAUUAUUUUUUAUGUGAUGUGUAAUGUUCUGGUCAGCAUAUUUCAAGUCAUUCUCAGAUGCUGUUUAGUUCAAUAAUGAAGCCAUCAGUAUCUGCAAUUUGGGAGGUGAACCAAAAAUCAUGGAGUUAGCUGCAUUAGUUUAAAAUCAACUCACUGUGAAAAUAAGAUUGCCCCUAGUUCUUUAUUAUAUGACUGCAGGCUGCUGCUAACUGGGCAGUGCAUUGUAGCACAACACUAUCACAGCAGGAACAGCAAAGAACUGAAAGCAAUAUUGAGUUGGAUGAAUUUAAUUUUAAUCUAGAUCAUUCUUACCAGAAUGAUUCCUUUCAGAGGCAGUGUUAUAUGAAAGCAGUGGUUAGGUUUUAAUGUCAUAUGGUGUUCUAGUUUAUUUGUCUUUACAAAAGAGAUGCAUUCAUCUUCCUUAACUCUGAUGCCAUCUCAAACUACUGAAAGUUCAAGUAAGUGUUUUGUCCCAAUUAAUUUGAUAUGAGCAGUAGUGUAACUGAGAUUCUGUUGCUUCUCUUGAGAAAUUUAUCUCAUGGUCCACAUGAGUUCAGAGAAUCACCAAAUCACAAAAUGUGCCAGGCUGUUUAAAUGUGGUUAGUGUAUAUACAUGUUUUGUGUGUGUAUAUGCAAGUACAUACACACACACACACACACACACACACACACACACACACACACACAUACACACAGAGUUAAAGCUGUAUUAUUUACUGCCAAAUUUCAUGUGUUAAAUGAUUUAUUAUCUUCUUUACAAGAUUUGUUUAGAAAUUUUUAAUUGAUUACUUACCUCUCUCUUACUUGUUCUGUAGGCAGCUGAGUUAUUUGAAACAGGCCUUCCUAUAGGAAUUAUCUUUCCUAUGGAUUGAUCUCUUUUACCAAUUUGUUGAUGUUUAACAAAAUAUCAGAUAUUUACAGGAGCUGUUUCAUAGCUAUUUAAUCAGAUUUCUUUCCUCAUGUCGAGUCUAUUAAUUUCUAUCCACAGCUGAAACAGGGGUUGAACAUCGGAGUUUUGUAAAGACUUACUGGAGUGUAAUUUUUAAUGUAUAUAUGUGUUUACACAUAAGAAUGCCUCACAAAAAAUCGAAUAAAUUUACAUAACUGUGAUAUAAAAAAUAUCUAUGAUGAUUUCAUACAGGUAUAAAGCCAGCAUACGUAUAAUUAGUCAAUCUUUUAUGUGAGACCAGAUGAUCAUUUUACAAGAUGCUUUAGAAUAAAUGUUUACAGACUUUCUCUUGUUGGUAGUUGACCAUGUUUAAGAGUCAGCAAAGCAGGAAUCAAAAACGAUCUUAUUUUGCAGUAGUUCCGCAUGAACCCCAAUAAAAGGUUCCAUGUUCUUAAGGAAUUUUACCCCUAAGGCUUUGAUUCAACAAUAAUUUCUGAUUCAUAUUCUUGAUAAAAGGACAUUAAGUUCUUUCUGUAUUUCUUUAACCAAUAUUUUUCCUAAUACCUAAAUGUGUAAAACCUUUGAAAGGGUGAUUCUGUUUUAAAUAAUUAACUGAUCCCUAUUCAUACCAUGAGUAUUAAUGAAAUUCUGUGUCUCUUUCAAACUAGCAGCACCUGAAUAGACUAAAAUAGAUUAGAAAGAAUAAUUGCUGAAUUUAAAAGUGAACUGCUUAUUAAAUCAAAGUAGUCUAUGAGUUGUUUUAGCAGGCAGUCAGUGUGGAAACCAUUUACCAGUUGCUAGGAUGUCUCAUUUCUAGUGUUGACCUUCAGCUGUAUCAAGUCAGUGCCUGCUGUGGAAGAGUGCAGAGGAGCAGGCAGCCUGGCUGUGUGCUCUGCCGGAUUGCCGGGGCUGGCUGAGCACGGGCACAAUGCUCAGCGCUUUACAGCAGUGCCAGGAGUGCCUGGGAUCCCAGGAAAACAUGCUCCCACUGCAAACUGCCCUCCCAUCCAGCCCACUCAAGAGAUGAGCGGAACUGAGUGGUGAUGAUGGGCAUUUUACCUCUGUGUUUGUCUACUUCAGCAACUUUUCUUGUCUUACAGGGGUUUUCUGUGCCUAUGGAGAAGAUUUUUGUAAAUAAAUAUGUUUAAAUAAAUAUGUUUAAAUUAACACUGUAGCUACACUGUGAUUUCAUGGUAUAUACCAGAGAGCAUCGUCUACUACAUGAAAGUACAUGAACAAAGAGAUGCUAUUUUUUCAAGAUAAUGAGACAAAGGCAGUGAUUUUAUAUAUAUAUAUAUAUAUAUAUAAAUAAAUAUAUAUAUAAUCACUUAUUGUCUGGCUAUUGAAAAGAUUCCUUAAAAGAAAUACAACCACAGAUUCAUGUAUUUUUUUAAUGUUGUAUAACCAGUAUUUUACACUGUUCAUGUCCUAAAAAUGGAUAUAGAUUUUAUUUAUUUUGAUUUUUUUUUAUUUGUUUUUGACAGGUGAAGGAUUGCUCAUAUGGACACAUAGCAAUUUUUAUCAUGAUUCCCAUUCCUUAAUGUAUCACAUUAUUAGUUAUUUUUAGACUUUUCAGUCUUUCACAAUAAAAAAUUAAAACAUC
This is a non-coding RNA of Taeniopygia guttata (zebra finch), 9255 nucleotides long. The record is from RefSeq and is a predicted model, not a curated record. NCBI's taxonomy places the organism in Eukaryota, Metazoa, Chordata, Aves, Passeriformes, Estrildidae.